RNAcentral lists this long non-coding RNA (406 nucleotides) under Gallus gallus (chicken). RNAcentral's name for it is "lncRNA (ENSGALG00010012675.1)". The record is from RNAcentral. Lineage: Eukaryota; Metazoa; Chordata; Aves; Galliformes; Phasianidae.
GUGGAGGUUUGCCUGCAGGGUAGAAUUUCAGAAUUUCCACAGUACAUGAAUCUCAAAUAUUUUCUUUCAGCACAAACUGCUCGUUGAGCACAGUCAGCCACCAGCUUUCUCUAGGGUGCUGCUUUCACUAAAUGAACUGCUACAUUCCGCAUCAGUGAAGGAACUCAGUUUGGGUGGAGAUGGAUAAAACCCAUCUAGGACACAGUUAAAGGCUAAGUACGGAGCCAGUAUCCUUCCACGAUGUGGGAAGACAAUCUGCAGUUUUGUCUCAGGUGACCCUCGAGAGGAAAAGGCUGAUGUCUAUGACUUUCCCUUCCCUUCAAGAAAUGUUGAAAAAGUAAUUAAACGAAAGAAGAAGAAGGUAUGAAACGUGGGAGCUGAAUUUAGCUGCCUUUGCAUUUGAGAU